UUAAGAUCUUCUCUGGUAAGCCACCUCGUGGGCUACACAGAUUAUUAGAAAUGGGUUAGAUUAAUAUGUAAGAGCUAGCCAGUAAGAGGCUACAGAUAACGGGCCAGGCAGUGUUUAAAAGAAUACAGUUUCCGUGUAAUUAUUUCGGGCAUAAGCUAGCCAUGCGGGCGGCCGGGUGCCGAGGACGCAGCCCCGCCGCUCCUAUCUCUACAUUAAUCCACAUGCAUUGCUCAAUAGAUGUCAAGAAGAAGCUCAGACAGUGAGUGUUCGGAUCAAAUGCACUGAUAGACUUCACAGCGGUGCCCAGAGUCAGAGAUCUGAGAGCUACACACAGGAAAUAGUGGAGAUAGCGAGGAAGAGCGACAAUUUCCCGUGAAGGAAAAGAAUCAGAUUAUAUAUACAGCAGGAGAGACAGCAAUCUUUUUUGAAACAAACUGCACCCUCUUUCCCUGUCAUUGACCUGGCAGCAGUUCACUGACAGGGCACUGCUGAUUGAAGGCUGGUGAAACAGCAUGGGGCCUCCCACGUGAUGUGGACAUGCACCAGGCUGCAAUGCUGCAGAGUCCUCCCAUGUGAUAUGGACAUGCACCAGGCUGCACACGCUGCAGAGUCCUCCCAUGUGAUGUGGCAUGUGCCAGGCUGCAAUGCUGCAGAGUCCCCCUACAUGAUGUGGACAUGCGCCAGGCUGCACACGCUGCAGAGUCCUCCCACGUGAUGUGGACAUGCAAUGCUGCAGAGUCCCCUAGGGACAAGGGGACCUGAGUCCAAUCAGAGAGGAUUUUCCACACACCGAAGUCUGCUUUAUCUUUCAGUGUCCCAGGGUCGGAGCUCUCCUGGACACACUGAUGCCUGUGAAGAAGGAAACCAGCCAUCUGAAUGAAAUUUCCCAACAUCUCUGAUCACUUCGAGUGUAAGAAGGGGACAGACUAUCUCACAGAAAUAGUUGGUGAGCUCAAUUUCCCUGAGCAAAUCAUGAGCUUCAAAUAAAUGUCCAGGUAUGAUAAGUCUCUCAACAGAUUUGCAUGCGAUUCCAAAAUUAGAUCAGCUGAGCACUAAGAACCCCAGUGCACACUAGUAAGCAUCAGGGAAACCAGACCAAAGUCUGCAAACGAGCCUCUACCCCGCAAGCCAGUUCCCCACUGUUGAUCGAGGUCUGAAAAGGAGGAAGCAAUGAAGAGGAACCACAGUCCUUCUUCCUCCCUGCGGCUGAUUGCACAGAACGAGUGGGAUACCACAAAGACGUGGGGUCUCUUUUCCCACCCCAAAGAUACGUAGGCUGCUUUUGUAAUUUGCUUGCCCUGGGAAGGUGAAAGAGGUGUCAGCUGUGAGCCUUGCGGGGACCACGCAGAGGCUUCUCAGCACGGCCCCAUCGCCGAGAGAGACCCCGUGGAGCAGAAAGUUAUACAGGUUAUAACCUACCAGCCCCGGCUGCUCUGCCAGCUGCCCACAGAGGCGUGAAUAAGCGCAAGCGCAAAGCUGUGGAGCCCAGUCACGGCCGGAACCGCCAAGCUAAGCCCAGGCUGAACUGCUGAACUAUGGUUUGCUUUAGAUCACCAGGUUUUGGAGUAGUUUAUUAAACAGCAGCAGCUAAGCCACAGUUCCGCGCAUCUCCGUGAGUCACACAGCCCAGAAAGUGGCCUAAAGAAAGUACUUUCCUCAAAGAAAGUUAAAGUUUUAUAGACUCGCUGAAGUCGGUGCUGCCGAAAGCGCCGAUCCACAAGGGGCGAGGGCUGAUGGUGGAGUGCAAAGCUACGCAUCCCGUCUUCCUCCAGAGGGUCUUCCUGCGGAGAAAGAGCAUCGGCUGGAGCAGACAGAGUGCGCGCUGACACGGCUGGCUUAUUAUAUUCUGGUGCAGGGUCCUAAUGUUGAUGCUAGCCGGCAGGAAGUAGUUCACAGGCCAGCUGCAGUUUAUGGAUAAUGAUGGAAAAUGUAUUUUCUGUGAAAGGCUCAAUAGUAAUAAUUUUUAUGCCUCGAGGGCCAUAUAGGCUAUGUUAAUUUUAUUAUAUGUGGAAGCACCCAUACCCUGGACGUUGUACACUGAACAAGCACGGCUGUGUUCCAAUAAAGUUAUUUUAUUUUAUUUUUUUAUUAUUUAUUUUGGUUUUUUCGAGACAGGGUUUCUCUGUGGC
Alexandromys fortis (reed vole) is the source of this 2129-nucleotide long non-coding RNA. RefSeq lists it as uncharacterized. The record is from RefSeq and is a predicted model, not a curated record. Lineage: Eukaryota; Metazoa; Chordata; Mammalia; Rodentia; Cricetidae. The transcript is spliced from 3 exons.